This 444-nucleotide ribosomal RNA is filed under the name uncultured soil bacterium. RNAcentral's name for it is "bacterial SSU rRNA". It matches the Rfam family "Bacterial small subunit ribosomal RNA", at positions 26 to 518 of the family's 1533-position model. The record is from RNAcentral.
AGAACGAACGCUGGCGGCAUGCCUAAUACAUGCAAGUCGAACGAACUCUUCGGAGUUAGUGGCGCACGGGUGCGUAACGCGUGGGAAUCUGCCCUUGGGUUCGGAAUAACAGUUGGAAACGACUGCUAAUACCGGAUGAUGACGUAAGUCCAAAGAUUUAUCGCCCAAGGAUGAGCCCGCGUAGGAUUAGCUAGUUGGUGGGGUAAAGCCUACCAAGGCGACGAUCCUUAGCUGGUCUGAGAGGAUGAUCAGCCACACUGGGACUGAGACACGGCCCAGACUCCUACGGGAGGCAGUAGUAGGGAAUAUUGGACAAUGGGCGAAAGCCUGAUCCAGCAAUGCCGCGUGAGUGAUGAAGGCCUUAGGGUUGUAAAGCUCUUUUACCCGAGAUGAUAAUGACAGUAUCGGAGAAUAAGCCCCGGCUAACUCCGUGCCAGCAGCCGC